GUUUUUGAAUGUUUAGGAGCGUAUUACUAUGUCCCCAUAUUCCGGUUCGCAUAUUCCAAGGUUCCAUUUUAGAGAUUAGAAAUGAAUUUUUAAUGUUUCCUUCAGAAAACAAUUGUCCCAUGGUCCAACUAGAAAUAUUGUUAUGCAACAAAACAUGGUCCACUGUAUUUCCUUUUCAUAUUGUUUUAUUAUAUGCGGUACUUGGGGUGAGGAUCCUUCGGAAAUAGCCUCUCUGCUACCUUAACAAGGUAAGGGUUAGGCUGUGUACACAAUACCCUCCGCAGGCCCCACUUGUGGACUACUCUGGUUAUGCUGUUGUUGUUGAAGCGUUUUACUGACAAUUAACUUUCUCCCUUUUCAGAUUUUAUGUCGCUGAGGUCCUUCU
This 385-nucleotide unclassified non-coding RNA is filed under the name Hevea brasiliensis (rubber tree). Lineage: Eukaryota; Viridiplantae; Streptophyta; Magnoliopsida; Malpighiales; Euphorbiaceae. The record is from RNAcentral.